AAAAUUUAGACACAAUGAUAAGUAUAUUUGUGUCAUACUUGUAUAUUUUCUAAUGAUAAAAAAUUAGGGAAAAUUAAUCUAGUACUAUAUCUUCAAGUUGCCUUCAACACUGCACCAAAAAUUCUUGAUCUUCAUGGCCUGCACCAAAUAUUCUUUAUCUUCACAGCCUGCAUAUGAAUUUAGAACAAAAAUAUAAUUGUGUUUUGCUCUUAGAAAAAAUAUUAACCACCAUUAAAUAUAUAUCUAGUACUACGAUUACAAGAAUAAUAUGCUAAAAAAAAGUAAAAGUAAAAGAAAAUUUAAAAGAAAAAACUCAAUGAUAUAUUCUGAGAAACUAGUGUAACUAAAAAAUCACAAAACAAAAAGUUUAGAAUUUUAAAAAGAUAGCAAGAGAAAAAUAAAUAAGCAAUAAUAAUAAUAAUAAUAAUAAUAAUAAUAAUAAUAAUAAUAAUAAUAAUAAUAAUAAUAAUUUGAAAAGAAAAUGGCAAAACACAAACCUCUGUUUUUGGUGAGGUUACAAAACUGGGUCAGUGUGCGGUUGGCCAAAAGCUAGAGGUGCAGCCGUGUAGGAGUUGGGUCUUCUUCAAUUGGGAGGCAUUAUUUUAUCAUCUCAAAUCCAACAAAAAAAAAAAAAGGUUAUCUUCAAUUAAUUUUCUAAAAAAUCCAAAUUCACAAUUCAACACAAAAGUUAAAAAUUAAUGAUAUCAAUAAUUUUAGGAGAGAAAUUGGAAACAAAAGAACAAUUAUAACAAAAAUUUAAAAACCCAAAAGCAAAAAUUGGGAAUUACCUUCAUGAAACCAGUUUUUGGGACCCAUCAAUUUCUUCUGUCAAACUAAAGUCAUUUGGAGAUUCAAUUGCUCAACAAGUUAAAGGAUGAUUAUGUUAUAUGAUUUCUAAGGAAAUUUUGAGGGAUUAGGACUUUACUUGCUUUGAUGUGUGAAGACUAGAGAGAGACGGAUUGAGGAGAGAAGAAAACAAAAGCUUUGACUUUGGCUGUUAGGUGAAAGCUGAGAGAGAGGCAAAAG
RNAcentral lists this long non-coding RNA (1026 nucleotides) under Citrus maxima (pomelo). RNAcentral describes it as "long non-coding RNA (CMAX_LNC003346)". Lineage: Eukaryota; Viridiplantae; Streptophyta; Magnoliopsida; Sapindales; Rutaceae. The record is from RNAcentral.